RNAcentral lists this ribosomal RNA (412 nucleotides) under Paradyschiria parvula. Its description in RNAcentral is "partial small subunit ribosomal RNA". Lineage: Eukaryota; Metazoa; Arthropoda; Insecta; Diptera; Streblidae. The record is from RNAcentral.
ACCCUAUUAUUAAAAUUGUAAUUUUUAAUACUAAGGUAGUAUUAGUUAUGGUCUUGAAACUUAAAAAAUUUGGCGGUAUUUUAAUCUAUUCAGAGGAACCUGUUCUAUAAUUGAUAAUCCACGAUGGACCUUACUUAAACUUGUUUAUCAGUUUAUAUAUCGUUGUUAUAAAAAUUUUUAAAGAAAAAUAAUUUUUGAUAUUUUAAAUAGUAAAGUAAUAUCAAAUCAAGGUGUAGCUAAUGUUUAAGGAGAAAUGGGUUACAAUAAAUUUAUUUAUGGAUAUAAAAAUGAAAUUUUUAUUGAAAAUGGAUUUGAAUGUAAAAUUAUAAAGAUUAAUAAUUUGAUUUUAGCUCUAAAAUAUGUACAUAUCGCCCGUCACUCUUAUUAUUAAGGUAAGAUAAGUCGUAACAAA